AGAGUUUGAUCCUGGCUCAGAAUCAACGCUGGCGGCGCGCUUAACACAUGCAAGUCGAACGAGAAAGGGAGCAAUCCUGAGUAAAGUGGCGCACUGGUGAGUAACACGUGGAUAUCUACCUCUUGGUGGGGAAUAACCUGGGGAAACCUAGGCUAAUACCGCAUAAGUUCGUGAGAAGAAAGGCGCAAGCCGCCGGGAGAGGAGUCCGCGGUCGAUUAGGUAGUUGGCGGGGUAAAAGCCCACCAAGCCAAAGAUCGAUAGCCGGCCUGAGAGGGCACACGGCCACACUGGCACUGAAACACGGGCCAGACUCCUACGGGAGGCAGCAGUGGGGAAUCUUGCACAAUGGGGGAAACCCUGAUGCAGCGACGCCGCGUGAGCGAUGAAGCCCUUCGGGGUGUAAAGCUCUUUCGGCAGGAACGAUAAUGACGGUACCUGCAGAAGAAGCUGCGGCUAACUACGUGCCAGCAGCCGCGGUAAUACGUAGGCAGCGAGCGUUGUUCGGAAUUACUGGGCGUAAAGAGUGUGUAGGCGGCCCUUCAAGUCGGUUGUAAAAUCUCUCGGCUUAACUGAGAGGGACCAUCCGAUACUGUCGGGCUAGAGUGCAGCAGAGGAAAGCGGAAUUCCCGGUGUAGUGAUGAAAUGCGUAGAUAUCGGGAGGAACACCAGUGGCGAAGGCGGCUUUCUGGGCUGUUACUGACGCUGUGGCCCGUAAGCGUGGGGAGCAAACAGGAUUAGAUACCCUGGUAGUCC
RNAcentral lists this ribosomal RNA (753 nucleotides) under uncultured bacterium. RNAcentral describes it as "bacterial SSU rRNA". It matches the Rfam family "Bacterial small subunit ribosomal RNA", at positions 8 to 796 of the family's 1533-position model. The record is from RNAcentral.